GACGAACGCUGGCGGCGUGCCUAAUACAUGCAAGUAGAACGCUGAAGGAGGAGCUUGCUUCUCCGGAUGAGUUGCGAACGGGUGAGUAACGCGUAGGUAACCUGCCUGGUAGCGGGGGAUAACUAUUGGAAACGAUAGCUAAUACCGCAUAACAGUAGAUAUCGCAUGAUAUCUGCUUGAAAGGUGCAAUUGCAUCACUACCAGAUGGACCUGCGUUGUAUUAGCUAGUUGGUGAGGUAACGGCUCACCAAGGCGACGAUACAUAGCCGACCUGAGAGGGUGAUCGGCCACACUGGGACUGAGACACGGCCCAGACUCCUACGGGAGGCAGCAGUAGGGAAUCGUCGGCAAUGGACGGAAGUCUGACCGAGCAACGCCGCGUGAGUGAAGAAGGGUUUCGGAUCGUAAAGCUCUGUUGUAAGAGAAGAACGAGUGUGAGAGUGGAAAGUUCACACUGUGACGGUAUCUUAACAGAAAGGGACGGCUAACUACGUG
Molecule: ribosomal RNA, 495 nt
Filed under: uncultured bacterium
Lineage: Bacteria
Description: partial 16S ribosomal RNA
Rfam family: Bacterial small subunit ribosomal RNA
Source: RNAcentral